RNAcentral lists this small RNA (16 nucleotides) under Arabidopsis thaliana (thale cress). RNAcentral describes it as "ATSL048150". The record is from RNAcentral. Lineage: Eukaryota; Viridiplantae; Streptophyta; Magnoliopsida; Brassicales; Brassicaceae.
AUUUCUAAAACUGCUU